RNAcentral lists this ribosomal RNA (475 nucleotides) under uncultured bacterium. Its description in RNAcentral is "SSU rRNA". It matches the Rfam family "Bacterial small subunit ribosomal RNA", at positions 26 to 521 of the family's 1533-position model. The record is from RNAcentral.
AGGAUGAACGCUGGCGGCGUGCCUAACACAUGCAAGUCGAACGUCCUGUCUCGCAAGAGGCAGGGAGUGGCGGACGGGUGAGUACCACGUGGGUCAUCUACCGUGAGGUGAGGAAUACCGGCGAGAAAUCGCCGACAAGACCGCAUAGGCUCGAUGCAAGUCGAGCAAAGCUCUUUCGAGAGAGGGAGCGCCACACGAGGAGCCUGCGCCCGAUUAGCUAGCUGGUGGAGUAACGGUUCACCAGGGCGACGAUCGGUAGCUGGUCUGAGAGGACGAUCAGCCACACUGGGAUUGAGAACGGCCCAGACUCCUACGGGGGGCAGCAGUGAGGAAUUUUCGUCAAUGGGGGCAACCCUGAACGAGCAACGCCGCGUGCAGGAGAAGGUUUCGGAUCGUAAACUGCUUUUCUCGGGGAAGAGAACGGACGGUACCCGAGGAACUCAGCCCCGGCUAACUACGUGCCAGCAGCCGCGGU